Molecule: ribosomal RNA, 250 nt
Filed under: uncultured Staphylococcus sp.
Lineage: Bacteria; Bacillati; Bacillota; Bacilli; Caryophanales; Staphylococcaceae
Description: partial 16S ribosomal RNA
Rfam family: Bacterial small subunit ribosomal RNA
Source: RNAcentral
CGUUAGCGGCGGACGGGUGAGUAACACGUGGAUAACCUACCUAUAAGACUGGGAUAACUUCGGGAAACCGGAGCUAAUACCGGAUAACAUUUGGAACUGCAUGGUUCUAAAGUGAAAGAUGGUUUUGCUAUCACUUAUAGAUGGACCCGCGCCGUAUUAGCUAGUUGGUAAGGUAACGGCUUACCAAGGCAACGAUACAUAGCCGACCUGAGAGGGUGAUCGGCCACACUGGAACUGAGACACGGUCCAG